GACGAACGCUGGCGGCGUGCUUAACACAUGCAAGUCGAACGGAAAGGCCCUGCUUGCAGGGUGCUCGAGUGGCGAACGGGUGAGUAACACGUGGGUGCUCUGCCCCUUACUUUGGGAUAAGCCUGGGAAACUGGGUCUAAUACUGGAUAGGUCCAUGCUGUAGGUGGUGUGGUGGAAAGAUUAGUUUAGGUAAGGGAUGAGCUCGCGGCCUAUCAGAUUUUUGGGGGGGUAAUGGCCUACCAAGGCGUCGACGGGUAGCCGGCCUGGGAGGGUGGACGGCAAGAUUGGGAGGGGGCUACGGUACAGACGUCAACGGGAGGGAGCAGAGGGGAAGAGAGUACAAGGGGAGGAAGCCAGAUGUAGCGAAGCAGUGCGGGGGGUGAGGGGCUGCGGGUUGGAAAGUAAAGUGAGCCAUGAAGAAGCGCAUGUGGUGACGGUAGUGGUAGAAGAAGCACCGGCUAACUACGUG
RNAcentral lists this ribosomal RNA (469 nucleotides) under uncultured bacterium. RNAcentral's name for it is "partial 16S ribosomal RNA". It matches the Rfam family "Bacterial small subunit ribosomal RNA", at positions 28 to 507 of the family's 1533-position model. The record is from RNAcentral.